AUGGCUGACAGGCUUUAUUCUGCUGUAUGAAAAAGUCUUUACUUAAUUCACAGACUGGAGUAAGGGGACAGAAGUAAUAAGAAAGAUGAAUAACUACAAGCAGAGAGAUCAUUUUAUUUGUGAAAAGAGGAAGCAACAAGGUGGAGAUGAGUUAAAAGAGGAAGAGCAUUGGACAGAGGAUGGAGAGCAGGACAGAGAGAGACGAUAAAACAGAGAUGUGGAGCAGAGGGGAGGAGUUAAAGAGGAAAUAAAGGUGAACUGGAAACAGAGGACGGUGACAGAGCACAAAGAGGCAAAGAAAGAAAACAAGAAAACAAAAAAGGAAACAAGAGAAAAGAGCCAGCAGUGAUGAAUGCAGCUCGAAUUCAUGACAAACAGAAGCUGAAGUCAUUCUGGGAGCAGAGGAUUGUUCAGCACAGCGAGCAGACGAAUGAUGAGGAGAACCGUAUGAGGAACAGCGCUUUGGCACGACUGAGGGAGCAGUGGGUCAUCAGGUUGGAGCAGAGGAAUCAACACCUGCAGAGUUUCUUCGAGGAGAGAAUGAGACGAGUGCAGAAAUCCCAGCAAAUCCUCGGAAAGACUGAUUCACC
Long non-coding RNA from Oreochromis niloticus (Nile tilapia), 590 nucleotides. RefSeq lists it as uncharacterized. Lineage: Eukaryota; Metazoa; Chordata; Actinopteri; Cichliformes; Cichlidae. The record is from RefSeq and is a predicted model, not a curated record. The transcript has 3 exons.